GAUCUGGCUCAGGGUGAACGCUAGCGACAGGCCUAACACAUGCAAGUCGAGGGGCAGCGAAGAGGUAGCAAUACCUUUGCCGGCGACCGGCGCACGGGUGAGUAACACGUAUGCAAUCCACCUGUAACAGGGGGAUAACCCGGAGAAAUCCGGACUAAUACCCCAUAAUAUGGGCGCUCCGCAUGGAGAGCCCAUUAAAGAGAGCAAUUUUGGUUACAGACGAGCAUGCGCUCCAUUAG
Molecule: ribosomal RNA, 239 nt
Filed under: uncultured bacterium
Lineage: Bacteria
Description: partial 16S ribosomal RNA
Rfam family: Bacterial small subunit ribosomal RNA
Source: RNAcentral